RNAcentral lists this long non-coding RNA (1001 nucleotides) under Apteryx rowi (Okarito brown kiwi). RNAcentral's name for it is "lncRNA (ENSARWG00000005544.1)". The record is from RNAcentral. Lineage: Eukaryota; Metazoa; Chordata; Aves; Apterygiformes; Apterygidae.
GUCUCAUCACUGUGACAUGAUGGGGAUAGUUUUAGUUAGUAGACCGUGCCCGGCUGCUCCUGAGAAGGGCUUGCAGCACUCAACUCUUGCUUAUCCURGCAAAUGUGGCUGGAAACUUGGGUGUUACCUCUGUCAAGAUGAUGCACAAAGUACACCUGUGUGGACUCUACCUGCACAGUGAGUUGCUAAAGCACUUUGCUCUGCAAGCUGAAGGUCACAUCUUGACUGGAUUGAAAGCRCUCCAGGGUUAGGAAGGGAUUCCURCAUGUACUGUGGUCACAUCUCUYGAUGGCAGUGUAGACAUUUCCUUAAUAGGGAAAUAGGGAAGCUGAAUGCGGCUUAUACACAGUACCUCAGUKCUAUAGGAAUCAACUCACCGUGUGUAAGGACAUCUGAAUAGAAGAAUAAGUUGCAAGAGACUGGGAAAAAGAUACUGAAGUCAGGCUAGAAAUAAUGGAUAACUGGCAUAUGAUGAGAGCACAUGGUAACAGGCUGAAGAGGAGAAAGAAUAAGCAAGGAACCAGGGCCACUACCUGAACAGGAACCCUCUGCCCAGGUGGGAAGGACCUCUUUGAAAAGUCAACAAAGUCCAUGUGCUCAUGUCCUGCUGGCCACUCAGCAGAAAUGAAAGACCACCUCCCAGAGCUGCAGAGAUCCCAGAUGGUUUCGGAACAGAGAGAAAGCUGAAGAGGCAGGACAUGUCCCCUCAACACAUAGGAUUGGACAAGGGCUUCUGCUGUCCUUCCUGCCUCUCAGGAUUUAUGGCGCACGUGCUCUGCCAUGAGUCUACUCCUAGUUCUGUCCAGGAAAUACCAGGCAAAAAUAUUGCAGCUCUGGAGAAAAUGCUGAGACAGUACCAGAAGAUGAUCUGCACCGUGCUGCGGGCAGCGAAACGGAAGCUGACCAGACAGGCCAUCUGGCAAGGCUUCUCAGUGCCUCGUAGGACUGGGUCUGCUCUUCUUCUGACUGAAAUUCUUCAGGAAGCAUCAGGCUGUAGCUAG